This 4803-nucleotide unclassified non-coding RNA is filed under the name Ixodes scapularis (black-legged tick). Its description in RNAcentral is "gON-4-like protein, transcript variant X2". Lineage: Eukaryota; Metazoa; Arthropoda; Arachnida; Ixodida; Ixodidae. The record is from RNAcentral.
GUGUUUAUGGUGUUGUUUAUCUGGCGAUCUAUUCGUCCUCGGUUGUCGGUGGUCUUCGGUUGUUCGGUGCGUUCGGUGUGGUGUUUAAAAGGUUUAAACAGCUGUUUUUAGUGCAGCAUUCGAGCUCAUGAUACGAGAAAGAACUGUUUUUCUUGGCUGCCAUAAUCAGGCUUGACUGCACGUGCGCUGAACGUUGGUGCUGGUUUUCAGCUGUGAGCCGAUGGGCUCAGACGCAUCGCCAGGAUGUCAUCGAGUCCGUUGAGCCACAUCGUUUGCGAAGCUGUCGGAGCUGAAGAACAUGCCACUCAGUCCGUGUCCCAGGGUGCCGACUCUACUGGUGACGAAACGGCUGAGGCCUCGCGUUCGGCGGACCAGUCCAAAAUGGCGUCCUGCGUGCCAGGGGAGCAGAUGGAUCUCCCGGAGCGUCCGGAAUUGGAGGAGAGCUCAGACUUGGUCAUCUGUGAGCCCGAAGCCUCGCAGAUUGAGGAGGUGAGCAGGGAGCUGAUGAUACUGAAUGACGAGGGUGCUCGGUGCCUCCGGCUGAGUGCUGAGGCUGGCAACGCUGCUCCGGCGGAGAGCCCCCCGCGUAAGCGACUCCGGGAGGAGCGCCGAAAGAAGGGAAAGAGGCGCAAGCCCCGGAAGCCCCCGCCGCCUGAGACGGACCUGGACCGUUUUCUCGAGGACACGGCUGAGAAGAACAACCUGACCAUCCAGAAUGUCAAGAACAUCAUCAGGAGGGUGGUGACCAAUGAGCGUGUGCUGGCCAUGCUGAGGAAAAGCAUGCUGUGCCACGUGUCUGCUGAGGCAGCCGGCAUCGACCUGGACAGCAUGGAGUACGAGCCCAAGUUCACCCGGGCCAAGGCACGCGAGAUAAUGGAGAAGCAGCCCCACCUCCUGUGGCCGGUGUCUCCCAUGAAGCUGUCGAGCGGCUCCAGCUCCCAGAAGCUGCUGCAGCAGGAAUUCUCUGAGGAGAGCGGCUCCGACGAGGAGUACCAGCCGGCUUCCGAGGAGAGCGAGGAGGACACGGAGGCUCCCUCUUCUGUGGGCACCUGUGAGGUGUUCUCUCCCGUCGCGUCUGAAGCCGCCCUCGAGACCCCUGAGAAGAGGGACGCGUCGGCGGAUGCCACGGCCUCUCAGGAAAGCCCGCUCUAUGACAAGGACGGCGGGGUGGUAGCGGAACGCACGCGGUCUAAGCUACCGCUGGACGACACCCCGCUGGAGUUCCUCGAGGCACAGUUCAUCGCCCCCGACAUCACCCCGGACAUGUACGACACGGACUGCGACGACGAAGAGUGGAAGGAGUUCCUUGUGUCCCUCAUCAAGCCCUUCGAACGCGAGGACGUCCAGGAGGACAAUGACGCUGAGGACCCUGAGUACAACGCCCAGGAAGAAGAGGACGAAACGGACUCGUGGGACCUGCGCAACGACCGGGGCGUCACAAUUCCCCGCAAGGAGCUGAACGAGCUGGUCACAGAGGUGAUGCAGGUGGCCACCAAGGAGCUGCUGGAUGGCGAGGACGAGGACGAAAUCACCCCCAUCAAGGCCAAGGACGGGGCCCCCGGCUGCACGGGGGUCGGCUCGGGCGAGCUUUCGGAGGCGGAGAUCUUCCUGGAGGCGACGGAGAGCGUCCAGCGGGAGUGCGACGCACAGCCGACGCCCCGCCAGAUUCAGCAGCUCGAGGAGCAGAUGCGCAUGCACGUGCAGCUGCUGACUCAGAUGUGCCUGCUGUGCAGCAACAGUGAUGUCCUCGCUCCCUACUUCAACAUGUCCGAGGUGCUGCUGCGGGAGCUGGAGACGUUUGCGCUGCGGCCCCUGCCAGCGACAGUCCGGCCGUCGCUCUUCCUGGCGUCCAACCUGCAGCAGGCGGUGCGUCUGCUUGACUGGGUGCCCCGUGCCCCCGGCGUCGUUGGAGCACCACCCAGGACGGGCGUCCACGUCCUGAGACGCAGCACCCUCAAGAUUCCAAUUCCCUCACACGUCCGGGAGCUGUUUGCGGAGAGCCCCGUGUUCCUGUACCCAGAGCUGCUUCCGACCAACCGCAUGUACAGCCCGCUGAAUGACCCCAACCACAAGGUCAUCUUCCUCUCUCCGGAGGACCACCUGGUUGCCCUGGGACUGGAGCAGUUUGUGCCCCCACGCUGCUCCACGUUCGGGAUGACGUACCUGCGCCUGAUCCGCACCUUCCUGCUGCCAGUCAAGACGGAGGUGCAGAUCAAGGUGCGCGUCAAGAACAUCAUCUACAAGAAAGUCGGCGAGGACAACCCCAUCAAGUACUGGCACGUGCACAAGGUGGCGCCCCCGCUGACCUGGGAGCCGCACCGCAUCGACCCAGCGGAGGCGGUAGCCCCCAGCCAGCGUCCAGUUGAGGAGCUGCCCCUGUGGAUGCGGCUGUACCUGAUGGCACGCCACAAGCGGCGCGCCGCACCCCCCGCCCCGCUGCCGGCCUCCCCGUCCCCGAUCCGUCCCGCGGAGACGGCCCUCCCGGUCGUGGGCGUCUGCUCCCCCGGCGUAAUCUCGGUGGCCACCAUCCCGGUCGUGGUGCACACGCGCUGCGUCCUAACGCCGGUGUCCGUCACCCUGACGCCCGCGGUGUCGCCCCGGCACCAUGUCGGCACCUCGGUGUCGCCCCUCAAGCAAAUCUCGCCGAUCCUCAAGAAGUACAGCCAGUACGGGCGCAAGAUCCUCAAGGCGCCGGCCAAGAAGAGGCUCAUCUACGACCUCUCAGGACCGUCGGCCGCGAGUGCGGCGCCAGGGAGCUCUUCGGCGCCAAGGGUAAGGUGCGAGAAGGCGACCGCGGAGGAAGAGAAGGCGCCGGAGCAGCCAGCGGACGAGCGGCCGCCGGACGAACCGUUGCCGGGGGCGCCCGAGGAGGCGGAGGACGACGAGGGGGACUUGGCGGCGCUGAUGGCGGCCAGCAGCACGAUCCUGCGGCGCAAGCAGGCCCUGAGUCGCAAGCGGACGCGCCAGCAGAGGGACGCCCAGGCCACCCUGCCCCUGCUCGAGCCGGACCUCGUGGAUGCCGACCCCCUGAAGGAGGAGCGGGAGAGCCAGUUCGCUCAGCAGUACUUGCAGAGGGUUCACGAGGCGCUGAAGCACGACCCGCCCCGUCUGCUGCGUGUGCUGAAUCUUCUCAGCAAGGCAGAGACCAGCGGAAUCAGUCCCGCGGAGCUGUACCACGGGAUGGCGGAGCUGCUGCUGCCAGACCACCCGGACGUGGUGGAGGACUUUGUGAGCUUCCUCCUGCCGGAGCAGGCCCUGGAGUGCGGCAAGCUGCCCCAGUACCUGCUCUUCAGCAGGAUACGCCUCUUCCUCAGGAAGCUAGAGGUGCACCUGAGCCAGCAGCCCCAGCAGCUUCAGCGCCUACUGCGCUCCCUGCACCAGCUUCAGCGGCAGCCUGAGCUGAGCUUGGACUCCCUGUGCGGGGUGCUGCAGCCCCUGUUGAGGGGCCAGAGCCACCUGUUGGACGAGCUGCAGCAGCUGCUGCCCAGUCACAGGGUGCCCGACAGCCUGAUGUGGGACUUUGAGGAGGUCCCCCUGCCGGAAGAGGAGGAAGAGGACGCCAGCAGCUGCGAGGAGCUGACCCUGUCCCCUCCCAGGGACGCCCCCGGCACACCCCAGUGUCCCUGCUCCUGCCACCUGCAGGCACAGGACCCCCGCUUCCUCAGCAGAGCGCGGCACUGCACGCGCUGCGGCAUCAAGUUCCUGGACGGCCGCGUCUUCCUGCAGACCGGGAAGGUGUUGCGGCCAGCCAAGGUCACCGUCCGCCAUCUUGGGCCGCCCGAGGUGGAUGCAGCGGGCGUUCUUGACCGUCGGCCUUCGGAGAGGCCAGACGAGGGUUCAAGGACGAGUGGCAGUGCAGAUGGGGGAGAGGCCCGCAAGGGUAGUCCAGGCGCCCCUGUCACUCCCUGGACAAGGGAGGAGGACCGGAUUUUGCUGCAGGCCUGUCAGCGCAUGGGCAGGGAGAAAGGCCUUGCCCACACAGCGCAGGCUUUGGGAAGACCUCAGGAACAGCUGGGCCUGAGGCUGAGGGAACUGGUGCGCCUCUUCGAGGCAAGCAAAAGUGACGACGAAGACACGUGACCCCAGCGUUGCCUGACCGGAGUUCUCCGAAUUGCGUGACUCUUCGCCUUCGCCAUUAUUGGGCCGACUUGGGAGUCUGAAGCCGGUGGCAGCUGCAGAAUUGGGCCUUGCCUUGUGCAGAAUUGGGCCUGGCCUUGUGCGCAAACUUUCUACCUUUGACGACACUUGGGCGCCCGCUCGGCGGGAGCUCGACUGAGGGCAGCGGGCACAUGUGGGAAGAGGAGCUUCUGUUGAUUUCUUACCAUGUCACCGGAUAUAGUUAUUUGUGUUUCUCCCAUUAUUUAUAUUAUGGACACAGUUGCAGGCUGUUCCCAAUGCAGCUCCAGCAUUCUUGGAGAUGAAAUAGUCUUCGGUGGGGGUAUUACAUGGGUACCUGGUUGUGACAGUGGUGCCCUUGAAAGGUUUGUCAUGGAAUGAGAAAAUUGGAAAAAAAACAUGGGCUGCACAGACAUUUACAACCGUGGAAAACAAGUGCAGCGUCUAAAAGUUCACAGAUUCGCGAGCAUAUGUUUGCAGGUAGUUUCCUUUGCAAGAUUCGCUGGUCACAAGCUUGGCAAAGUGGAAGUGUGACCCUGCUCUGUGCCCUUUUUAAGGCAAUUAUUAUAAACAAGAAAUCAAUGUUUUUUUCUUGAAAUUUUAUUUUAUUUGUUAUGCAAACUUGUAAAGUGCAGAAUCAAGUGAUUCAUACUUUUCACCCUCGCCAGAAUAAACAGCUUCACUUGA